UUCAUCCUAAAUGAUGAGUAACUCAAGUAAGCCAUGGAUUAACAUCCAAAUGACGCUUUAUGUCAUAGUUACUCUGAUAGAUGAGGCCUCUAUUUAGCUCUAUGUUGUCACUACUAACCUAAAAAUAUUGUUAUAGUAGUUGUAUUUUUAUGUAUUUAAGUUUGAAAAUAGGUAAUUGUUUGAUAUAUGCAAAAAAGAAUUGCAAAACAAGGCAACUUUGCCAAGGGGCUCUGUCUUUGUUGAUCUCCUCUUUUUCCCUGUUGCCAAUAUCAUACUUGGACAAGCUUGGAACAAUUCUAGUUGAUGAGCUAAUAUAUGGUUGUAACCAGCUGUUUCUCACUUGGCUACACUAUCCAUCACUCUUGAUUGGACGAUUAUAUAUUUG
RNAcentral lists this unclassified non-coding RNA (385 nucleotides) under Hevea brasiliensis (rubber tree). The record is from RNAcentral. Lineage: Eukaryota; Viridiplantae; Streptophyta; Magnoliopsida; Malpighiales; Euphorbiaceae.